AGGAAUUCAAAUUCAUCAAGGACAUCGAGCUGGUCCAGAAGGCUGCAAAUCUGUACACUGUGCAGCCCGAUGAGCACUUUGGGGCCUGGUUCCAGGCCGUGGAGCCCCUGAGUGAGGAGGCGAGCUACAGCCUGUCCUGUCAGCUGGAGCCACAAUACCAGUGGACCAGAAAGAUUCGACUCUUCUUCAAAGACAAGAAGAGCCACUCAUCUUCCCGCCCAGGGCUGAACACCAGGCCCCCAAAAAAGAGCCCAGUCGUGGUGGCAGAUGACGCUCCUGAGACCAGCUGAACUACAGCAGGGACACAGCGGGGACACUCAGGUGCAUGGGGCCACCUCUCAGAUGCUGAUGUGCAUGAAAACUUUGUGAUCCAUUUCCUGGGGUCCCUGAAGGCAACAAGGGAGUGGAUGAUACCCCCAUCUCCCUCACACAUUUUCCCCAGCGCCUAUUUCCCUCUUUGGAGGGGCCAUGUUUUUGUUGUCAAUGAUAAAUGCUAAGUUUGGGUAUUCUAUUAAAUUUCUGUUUUUUUCUCA
Long non-coding RNA from Equus asinus (donkey), 533 nucleotides. NCBI's taxonomy places the organism in Eukaryota, Metazoa, Chordata, Mammalia, Perissodactyla, Equidae. The record is from Ensembl.